RNAcentral lists this transfer RNA (73 nucleotides) under Candidatus Nealsonbacteria bacterium CG23_combo_of_CG06-09_8_20_14_all_36_12. Its description in RNAcentral is "tRNA-Met". It matches the Rfam family "tRNA". From Rfam's summary of the family: Transfer RNA (tRNA) molecules are approximately 80 nucleotides in length. Their secondary structure includes four short double-helical elements and three loops (D, anti-codon, and T loops). Lineage: Bacteria; Candidatus Nealsoniibacteriota. The record is from RNAcentral.
GCCGGCGUAGCUCAGUGGUUAGAGCAGUGGAAUCAUAAUCCAUGUGUCGGGGGUUCGAAUCCCUCCGUCGGCA